RNAcentral lists this unclassified non-coding RNA (240 nucleotides) under uncultured fungus. RNAcentral describes it as "sequence contains ITS2". The record is from RNAcentral. Lineage: Eukaryota; Fungi.
AACGCAUAUUGCGCCCUCUGGUAUUCCGGGGGGCACACCUGUCCGAGCGCCAUUUCGACCCUCAAGCUUUGCUUGGUGUUGGGCGAGGUCCUAGAGGACCCGCCCUUAACUUGUAGGCGGCCGAUGCCCCGCGCCCUCAGCGUAGCACGCUCACGCACCCGCUCGGGGACGGAGUACGGCCCGCCAAAAACCUUCCAAAGGUUUGGCCUCGGAUCAGGUGGGGAUACCCGCUGAACUUAA